Molecule: ribosomal RNA, 497 nt
Filed under: uncultured bacterium
Lineage: Bacteria
Description: partial 16S ribosomal RNA
Rfam family: Bacterial small subunit ribosomal RNA
Source: RNAcentral
GACGAACGCUGGCGGCGUGCCUAAUACAUGCAAGUAGAACGCUGAAGAGAGGAGCUUGCUCUUCUUGGAUGAGUUGCGAACGGGUGAGUAACGCGUAGGUAACCUGCCUUGUAGCGGGGGAUAACUAUUGGAAACGAUAGCUAAUACCGCAUAACAAUGGAUGACCCAUGUCAUUUAUUUGAAAGGGGCAAAUGCUCCACUACAAGAUGGACCUGCGUUGUAUUAGCUAGUAGGUGAGGUAACGGCUCACCUAGGCGACGAUACAUAGCCGACCUGAGAGGGUGAUCGGCCAAACUGGUACUGAGACACGGCCCAGACUCCUACGGGAGGCAGCAGUAGGGAAUCUUCGGCAAUGGGGGCAACCCUGACCGAGCAACGCCGCGUGAGUGACGAAGGUUUUCGGAUCGUAAAGCUCUGUUGUAAGUCAAGAACGAGUGUGAGAGUGGAAAGUUCACACUGUGACGGUAGCUUACCAGAAAGGGACGGCUAACUACGUG